UGAUUGUCCAAAAAAGUUUGUUUGGAUUUUUCGUACCUUCUUACGGAAAACCCAAAUGAAUGUUUUGGCCAACCCA
This 76-nucleotide microRNA precursor is filed under the name Ovis aries (sheep). RNAcentral's name for it is "miRNA (ENSOARG00000024306.1)". Lineage: Eukaryota; Metazoa; Chordata; Mammalia; Artiodactyla; Bovidae. The record is from RNAcentral.